UUCCAGACUCCUCGGGAGGCAGCAGUGGGGAAUAUUGCACAAUGGGGGAGACCCUGAUGCAGCGACGCCGCGUGAGUGAAGAAGUAAUUCGUUAUGUAAAGCUCUCUCAGCAGGGAAGAAAAUGACGGUACCUGAGUAAGAAGCCCCGGCUAACUACGUGCCAGCAGCCGCGGUAAUACGUAGGGGGCAAGCGUUAUCCGGAUUUACUGGGUGUAAAGGGGGCGCAGACGGCGAUGCAAGCCAGGAGUGAAAGCCCGGGGCCCAACCCCGGGACUGCUCUUGGAACUGCGUGGCUGGAGUGCAGGAGGGGCAGGCGGAAUUCCUGGUGUAGCGGUGAAAUGCGUAGAUAUCAGGAGGAACACCGGCGGCGAAGGCGGCCUGCUGGACGGCGACUGACGUUGAGGCUCGAAAGCGUGGGGAGCAAACAGGAUUAGAUACCCCAGUAUGU
RNAcentral lists this ribosomal RNA (448 nucleotides) under uncultured bacterium. Its description in RNAcentral is "bacterial SSU rRNA". It matches the Rfam family "Bacterial small subunit ribosomal RNA", at positions 329 to 794 of the family's 1533-position model. The record is from RNAcentral.